GACCAAGCCGCGCUGCCAAUUGCCAUAUACUUAGUGCCAGCAGCUGACCUUGGGACGUUCCUAACUGCUGCUGUAUUUGAAUAUUCUAGAAGUAUCCAAAAACAUCAAGGCACAGCGCGAUGUUAGGA
This is a long non-coding RNA of Aricia agestis (brown argus), 128 nucleotides long. RefSeq lists it as uncharacterized. The transcript is spliced from 3 exons. NCBI's taxonomy places the organism in Eukaryota, Metazoa, Arthropoda, Insecta, Lepidoptera, Lycaenidae. The record is from RefSeq and is a predicted model, not a curated record.